UAGGGAAUCUUCGGCAAUGGACGAAAGUCUGACCGAGCAACGCCGCGUGAGUGAAGAAGGUUUUCGGAUCGUAAAACUCUGUUGUUAGAGAAGAACAAGGACGUUAGUAACUGAACGUCCCCUGACGGUAUCAAACCAGAAAGCCACGGCUAACUACGUGCCAGCAGCCGCGGUAAUACGUAGGUGGCAAGCGUUGUCCGGAUUUAUUGGGCGUAAAGCGAGCGCAGGCGGUUUCUUAAGUCUGAUGUGAAAGCCCCCGGCUCAACCGGGGAGGGUCAUUGGAAACUGGGAGGCUUGAGUGCAGAAGAGGAGAGUGGAAUUCCAUGUGUAGCGGUGAAAUGCGUAGAUAUAUGGAGGAACACCAGUGGCGAAGGCGGCUCUCUGGUCUGUAACUGACGCUGAGGCUCGAAAGCGUGGGGAGCAAACAGG
Molecule: ribosomal RNA, 429 nt
Filed under: Gemmatimonadota bacterium
Lineage: Bacteria; Pseudomonadati; Gemmatimonadota
Description: Gemmatimonadetes bacterium partial 16S ribosomal RNA
Rfam family: Bacterial small subunit ribosomal RNA
Source: RNAcentral